UAACACAUGCAAGUCGAGGGGCAGCAUUUUAGUUUGCAAGCAAACUAAAGAUGGCGACCGGCGCACGGGUGAGUAGCACGUAUCCAACCUGCCGAUAACUCAGGGAUAGCCUUUCGAAAGAAAGAUUAAUACCUGAUGGCAUAGGAUUAUCGCAUGAUAAUCCUAUUAAAGAAUUUCGGUUAUCGAUGGGGAUGCGUUCCAUUAGGCAGUUGGUGAGGUAACGGCUCACCAAACCUUCGAUGGAUAGGGGUUCUGAGAGGAAGGUCCCCCACAUUGGAACUGAGACACGGUCCAAACUCCUACGGGAGGCAGCAGUGAGGAAUAUUGGUCAAUGGACGGGAGUCUGAACCAGCCAAGUAGCGUGAAGGAUGACUGUCCUAUGGGUUGUAAACUUCUUUUAUACGGGAAUAAAGUGAUCCACGUGUGGAUUUUUGUAUGUACCGUAUGAAUAAGGAUCGGCUAACUCCGUGCCAGCAGCCGCGGUAAUACGGAGGAUCCGAGCGUUAUCCGGAUUUAUUGGGUUUAAAGGGAGCGUAGGUGGAUUGUUAAGUCAGUUGUGAAAGUUUGCGGCUCAACCGUAAAAUUGCAGUUGAUACUGGCAGUCUUGAGUACAGUAGAGGUGGGCGGAAUUCGUGGUGUAGCGGUGAAAUGCUUAGAUAUCACGAAGAACUCCGAUUGCGAAGGCAGCUCACUGGACUGCNACUGACACUGAUGCUCG
RNAcentral lists this ribosomal RNA (718 nucleotides) under uncultured Bacteroidales bacterium. RNAcentral's name for it is "bacterial SSU rRNA". It matches the Rfam family "Bacterial small subunit ribosomal RNA", at positions 49 to 755 of the family's 1533-position model. Lineage: Bacteria; Pseudomonadati; Bacteroidota; Bacteroidia; Bacteroidales. The record is from RNAcentral.